GGGAGGGAGUGUACAGCACAGUCUCGGCAAUCUACUCACUAAAGAAUUAAGCCUGAAUAAUUGUCCAUGUCUGUGAAGCAUCUUGGUUUCUUUUAUUUAAAAUGAGUCAGUUCUGUCAAUCGUCCAGUUUCCAGUUAAGUGAAUAAGCCCCAUUUAAUUUCUGUGGCAGGCGACAGAAGCUUUGCUGUGAUAUUUUGUUCGAAUCCUGAGUGACGUCACCAUGGUUUACCUCUGGCUGAUUAUGGCUUAAUGUAGACUGGCGAACCUCUGCUGUGGUUAUUCACCAUUAAAUUUCACCAGCCUCAACUCUCCAAUCUCACUGAAACCUCCACUGCCUUGAUCUCCAGCAUUUCUACUCCAAACUCUCCUUCUACCCAUCUCAAAUCUCACUUGCCCUCACUCUGCAACCUCACU
Molecule: non-coding RNA, 414 nt
Organism: Pelobates cultripes (western spadefoot toad)
Lineage: Eukaryota; Metazoa; Chordata; Amphibia; Anura; Pelobatidae
Source: the annotation of a GenBank genome assembly